This 484-nucleotide ribosomal RNA is filed under the name uncultured bacterium. Its description in RNAcentral is "partial 16S ribosomal RNA". It matches the Rfam family "Bacterial small subunit ribosomal RNA", at positions 30 to 507 of the family's 1533-position model. The record is from RNAcentral.
AUUGAACGCUGGCGGCAGGCCUAACACAUGCAAGUCGAGCGGAUGAAGGGAGCUUGCUCCUGGAUUCAGCGGCGGACGGGUGAGUAAUGCCUAGGAAUCUGCCUGGUAGUGGGGGAUAACGUCCGGAAACGGGCGCUAAUACCGCAUAUGUCCUGAGGGAGAAAGUGGGGGAUCUUCGGACCUCAUGCUAUCAGAUGAGCCUAGGUCGGAUUAGCUAGUUGGUGGGGUAAAGGCCUACCAAGGCGACGAUCCGUAACUGGUCUGAGAGGAUGAUCAGUCACACUGGAACUGAGACACGGUCCAGACUCCUACGGGAGGCAGCAGUGGGGAAUAUUGGACAAUGGGCGAAAGCCUGAUCCAGCCAUGCCGCGUGUGUGAAGAAGGUCUUCGGAUUGUAAAGCACUUUAAGUUGGGAGGAAGGGCAGUAAGUUAAUACCUUGCUGUUUUGACGUUACCAACAGAAUAGGCACCGGCUAACUUCGUG